RNAcentral lists this ribosomal RNA (626 nucleotides) under uncultured bacterium. Its description in RNAcentral is "bacterial SSU rRNA". It matches the Rfam family "Bacterial small subunit ribosomal RNA", at positions 201 to 847 of the family's 1533-position model. The record is from RNAcentral.
GAAAAACUCCGGUGGUAUGAGAUGGACCCGCGUCUGAUUAGGUAGUUGGUGGGGUAACGGCCUACCAAGCCAACGAUCAGUAGCCGACCUGAGAGGGUGACCGGCCACAUUGGGACUGAGACACGGCCCAAACUCCUACGGGAGGCAGCAGUGGGGAAUAUUGCACAAUGGGGGAAACCCUGAUGCAGCGACGCCGCGUGAGCGAAGAAGUAUUUCGGUAUGUAAAGCUCCAUCAGCAGGGAAGAAAAUGACGGUACCUGACUAAGAAGCACCGGCUAAAUACGUGCCAGCAGCCGCGGUAAUACGUAUGGUGCAAGCGUUAUCCGGAUUUACUGGGUGUAAAGGGAGCGUAGACGGCUGUGUAAGUCUGAAGUGAAAGCCCGGGGCUCAACCCCGGGACUGCUUUGGAAACUAUGCAGCUAGAGUGUCGGAGAGGUAAGUGGAAUUCCCAGUGUAGCGGUGAAAUGCGUAGAUAUUGGGAGGAACACCAGUGGCGAAGGCGGCUUACUGGACGAUGACUGACGUUGAGGCUCGAGAGCGUGGGGAGCAAACAGGAUUAGAUACCCUGGUAGUCCACGCCGUAAACGAUGACUACUAGGUGUCGGGGAGCAAAGCUCUUCGGUGCC